This 72-nucleotide transfer RNA is filed under the name Marmota monax (woodchuck). It matches the Rfam family "tRNA". From Rfam's summary of the family: Transfer RNA (tRNA) molecules are approximately 80 nucleotides in length. RNAcentral also lists the same sequence under 2 other names. The record is from Rfam by way of RNAcentral. Lineage: Eukaryota; Metazoa; Chordata; Mammalia; Rodentia; Sciuridae.
GGGGAUGUGGCUCAGUAGUAGAGCACUUGCCUGGCAUGUGAGAGGGUGUAGGCUUGAUUUCUGCCACCACAA